CUGCUCUAAGUCUAUCCUGAAUGACCCGGACCCUAUCCAAAAACUCACAAAGCAAGUCCGUACCUCAAGGUCUCACCUCUGAAACAUCGAACCAACCUACUGGAGAGCGGAAACGCCUACCAUGCAACGCCUCAAAAGGAGCCAUAUCAAUACUGGAAUGGUAGCUAUUACUAUGUCCAAACUAUGCUAAAGCCAAAUACUGCUCCCACUGGCCACCAAAAUCCAUUACGCACUCGCGGAGUAUACUCCAAAACCUGGAUAGUCUAUUCUGACUGGCCAUCAGUCUGGGGUGAAACCCUGAACUAAGAUCCACU
This 314-nucleotide long non-coding RNA is filed under the name Capsicum annuum. RNAcentral describes it as "long non-coding RNA (CANN_LNC011040)". Lineage: Eukaryota; Viridiplantae; Streptophyta; Magnoliopsida; Solanales; Solanaceae. The record is from RNAcentral.